ACGAACGCUGGCGGCGUGCUUAACACAUGCAAGUCGAACGAUGAAGCCCAGCUUGCUGGGUGGAUUAGUGGCGAACGGGUGAGUAACACGUGAGUAACCUGCCCUCCACUCUGGGAUAACUGCUAGAAAUGGUAGCUAAUACCGGAUAUGACAACUGGCCGCAUGGUCUGGUUGUGGAAAGAAUUUCGGUGGGGGAUGGACUCGCGGCCUAUCAGCUUGUUGGUGAGGUAAUGGCUCACCAAGGCGACGACGGGUAGCCGGCCUGAGAGGGUGACCGGCCACACUGGGACUGAGACACGGCCCAGACUCCUACGGGAGGCAGCAGUGGGGAAUAUUGCACAAUGGGCGCAAGCCUGAUGCAGCAACGCCGCGUGAGGGACGACGGCCUUCGGGUUGUAAACCUCUUUUAGUAGGGAAGAAGCGAAAGUGACGGUACCUGCAGAAAAAGCACCGGCUAACUACGU
RNAcentral lists this ribosomal RNA (464 nucleotides) under uncultured bacterium. RNAcentral describes it as "bacterial SSU rRNA". It matches the Rfam family "Bacterial small subunit ribosomal RNA", at positions 29 to 506 of the family's 1533-position model. The record is from RNAcentral.